This 1122-nucleotide long non-coding RNA is filed under the name Oryctolagus cuniculus (rabbit). RNAcentral describes it as "lncRNA (ENSOCUG00000033913.1)". Lineage: Eukaryota; Metazoa; Chordata; Mammalia; Lagomorpha; Leporidae. The record is from RNAcentral.
UAUGCUAAAAACCACUGCACUGUGCAUCGUAAGUGGUGAACUUUAUGGCGUAUGAAUUCUAUAUCAAUAAAACAAAUUUUUAAAAAUGAGUAAAUGUAUGAGAAAUGCAUCUCAAAGUCUGAUUCCAGAUUUUACAUCAUCAUCAUCAUCAUCAUCAUCAUCAUCAUCAUCACUAUUAUUACUUGAGAGGCAGAGAGACAGAAAAAGAGUGAGCGAGAGAGAGACCAAAGAAUGAGAGAGCGAGCGAGCUUGUAUCUGUUGGUUCAUUGCUCUGGUACCUGAAAUAGCUGGAGAGGGCCAGGUUGAAGUUGGGAAGGAACUCAGUCCAGGCCUCCUACGUGGGUAGCAGGGCCAACUACCUAUCACCUGAUGCCUUCCAGGGUAUGCAUGAGCAGGAAGCAGGAGCUGGGAGAAGCCAGUACUUGAACAUGGUCACUCUGACAUGGGGUGCAGGUGUCCCAGCCAUCAGAUCAAAUGCCUGCUCUGUGACUCCAGAGUUUAGAAGCCCAGGACUGUGAGGGUUAUAAAUGAUGGUUCUGCUAAAACCACUCGGGUGUUGGGAGUCCUAUUUGGCCUUUGCAGAGUUGCUUUUUGUUGCCAGGGACACAGACUGUGGCUCUUAACCCUGACAGCACUUGUCCUUCUAGCCUGCCCCCUUUCUGCAAGAAGAAUAUUGGAACUCUGAAGAAUGAGCCAUCCUUCUAGGAGUGAAAUGGCCUUUAAAGCCGAAGGAGGCCAUGAGGACUCCUCUCCUGGAUUAUGUGAACUGGUUCAAAAUUGCAGCAUCAUAUGCACUCUGGUGUUUGAUUGGUCCAAGUCAGAACCGCUCUGGGACAAAGGUAGGGCUAUCAGAAUGAGCAAAUAAAAAAUACAGGAUGCUGGUCAGGAAUUUCAGAUAAACAAGGAGAAUUUUUUUUCAGUGUAAGUAUGUUACAAAUAUUGCAAGAGAUAGACUAAAAAAUAUUUAACUGAAAUUCAAUUUGAGCCGGAAGUCCUCUCUCUUAUCUGGCAACCGUAGACACAGAUUACUAGGGAGGUCCUGUAUAGGGUCCCCAAGCUUUAGAGACGAGUCACCCACCAGCACCUUCCUCUGGGCAGAGGAGCGUACAACCGCAUUCAUAC